The sequence is an unclassified non-coding RNA, 184 nucleotides long. The stretch from base 1 to 46 matches the Rfam family "Eukaryotic small subunit ribosomal RNA", at positions 1786 to 1831 of the family's 1831-position model.
AAGUCGUAACAAGGUUUCCGUAGGUGAACCUGCGGAAGGAUCAUCAGUGGGUUAAAUAGUAUGCACCGUGCAUUGUAUAGGGGGGUGAGUGCGCUCUCCUCCCAACAUCCCUUCCUCACGCAAUUCUCACUAACCAAUACACAUUGUAAACACACAACUUUCAACAAUGGAUCUCUUGGCUCUC